This is a long non-coding RNA of Drosophila mojavensis, 1459 nucleotides long. RefSeq lists it as uncharacterized. The transcript is spliced from 2 exons. Lineage: Eukaryota; Metazoa; Arthropoda; Insecta; Diptera; Drosophilidae. The record is from RefSeq and is a predicted model, not a curated record.
CCAUAUCCGUCUUAAAUUUCACAAAAAAAUAUGUCUGGUCUUUGAAUACUGACAAUUUGAAAAUCGGCUACCAAAAAUUGAAAUUUGAAGACACGGUGCUUUUCGAAAAUGUUAGCUGACUUUAACAGUGACUGUUAUUCAAAAUUUUAGGUACAGUACCUUAAAGAUUGGAGUUUUAUUUAUAUGUCAACAUAAAAAUAAUUAUAAAUUUCAAUACUUAAAAAAAACACGACUAAAUAACCGAAAAACGCCUAAAUUUCCCAUAGUGCAGUAAUGUGACUAGCAGCUCUCUCGCCGCUGGUCGUGUCUGUGUGUCUGCGCAACAGUCGAUACCGAAUUUCGAUUUUCUCGUGGUCGUCUCGGUGUGUGCGUGCGCGUACCUUUGUUGCGCAUGUGUGCUUGCGUUGUGUGGUCGCUGUAUACAUGUAUCAUAUAUACAUGAUGUAUGUGUAUCAGCAUUGUUUCGGUGUGGCUGUGGCUUACUGCGUGGUGUUGUAGCUCAGGUCUAAUGUAGCUUUGCCUCUUUGCAGCUCUGCUCGAAUUUUGCCAAUGAGUUUCAGUAUAAAUAAGGCUGCAUGGCAGAGCCAUCUCAUAGUCGCAUGGUCGACUUUGAACGUUCUCUUUUUGAUGAGAUGUUCACUCAGAUCUCCAUUUUAGUGAUCUUAUUUUAGUGAAAUAAAUUCAUAAAUUUAUUUUUCCGUCUGGAGGCGCAAGAAUAGUGGAUAUCAUCGAUGUGACAUUUAACACUCCACCAGGUGAAUUCAAAACUCUAUCAGACAUUUGGGCUGUGAUACUUAAACGCUUACCCAGAUGUUUUGAGUAACCACCUAAUUCUACAAGCGAAUAAUCGGAAACUCUGGCUGGCAAAUCUUUAGGAUGUAAUACUUCGACGCUUAUCCAGAUUAUUGAGUGACCACCUAAUUCUACAAGGGCAUAAUCUGGCUGAAAAAUCUGUGUUGAACUGAAAACUCUGCCCGGCAAAUCUCUGUGAUGUAAUAAUUAAACGCUAACCCAGAUGUUUUAAGUGACCACAUAAUUCUACAAGCGCAUAUUCGAAAACUCUGGCUGGCAAAUCUUUGGAAUGUAAUACUUAAAUGCUUAUCCAGACUAUUGAGUGACCACCUGAUUCUACAACAGUUGAACUAAAAACUCUGCCCGGCAAAUCUGUGUGAUGUAAUAAUUAAACGCUUACCCAGAUGUUUUGAGUGACCACCUAAUUCUACAAGCGCAUAAUCGAAAAAUCUGCUUGGCAAAUCUUUGGGAUGUAAUAAUUAAACGCUUACCCAGAUGUUUUGAGUGACCACCUAAUUCAACAAGCGCAUAAUCGAAAACUCUGCUUGGCAAAUCUUUGGAAUGUAAUACUUAAACGCUAACCCAGAUAUUUUAAGUGACCACAUAAUUCUACAAGCGCAUAUUCGAAAACUCUGGCUGGCAAAUCUUUGGAAUGUAAUACUUAAAU